AUGCGGCUGGCGGCGGCGGCGGGGGUCCUCCGCCCCACGGCCGCCCUCCUCUUCCACUCCCGGUCCCGGCCGCACCGCCUCCUCCCCUCCCCGCGCCGCUCCUCCCUCCCCUUCGCCCGCCGGCGCCGCCACUCCUCCUCCUCCACCGCCACGGCCCUCGACGACCCCCCUCCUCCGGCGGCGCCCGGUCCGCCCUCCCCCGCCCCACCGGCGCCCACGGGGGAGGGCGGGGAGACCAAGGCCGCCCGGCGCCGGCGCGCGCGGGAGUCCCCGGAGGGCAUGCUCAGGCACCGGCUCGACAUGUGCUCCCGCGACGCGGACCUGGCCACGGCGCUGGAGCUCUACGCGGCCGCGGUCGACCCGGCCACCGCCGUCCCGCUCGCGCUCCACCACUACAACUGCCUGCUCUACCUCUGCUCCAACGCGGCCGCCGAGGACGCCGCCGCCGCGCGCCGCGGCUUCGAGAUCUUCGCCGCCAUGGAGGCGCAGGGCGUGGAGCCCAACGAGGCCACGCUCACCAGCCUCGCCCGCCUCGCCGCCGCCGUCCGCGACCCGGCCAUGGCCUUCUCCGUCGUCCGCCGCAUGGCCGCCGCCGGCAUCCCGCCGCGCCUCCGCUCCUACGGCCCGGCCCUCUUCGCCUACUGCGACGCCCGCGACGCCGCCGGGGCCGCCGAGGUCGAGGCCCACAUGGACGCCGGCGGGGUCGUGCCGGAGGAGACCGAGCUCGCCGCGCUGCUCCGCGUCAAUGCCGACACCGGGAGGGCCGGCGAGGUGUACAGGGUGCUGCACAGGACGCGCACGCUCGUCAGGCAGGUGUGCGAGGCCACCGCCCAGGUGGUGGAGGCCUGGUUCCGGUCCGACGCCGCGGCGGAGGCCGGGGUCGAGAAGUGGGACGCCAGGAAGGUCAGGGAAGGCGUGGUGAAGGGCGGCGGCGGCUGGCAUGGCCAGGGCUGGCUCGGCAAGGGGCAAUGGGACGUCGGGCAGAGCGAGAUGGACAAGAACGGCAAAUGCCUGCGCUGCGGCGAGAAGCUCGUGUGCAUAGACAUUGAUCCUUCCGAGACAGAGACCUUUGCCAAGUCCCUCGCCGAACUCGCGUGCAAGCGGGAGGUCAGGGACGAUUUCAUACGGUUUCAGGACUGGCUCCGUCGAAAUGGACCAUUCGACGCUGUUAUUGAUGCUGCUAAUGUCGGCCUUUACAACAGUAAAGCUUUCAGUUUUUCUCAGGUGAACUCUGUUGUAAAUGGCAUACAGAGAGUAACCAAGUCAAAGAAAUUGCCACUGAUCGUUUUGCAUAGGAGCCGGGUAAAUUGUGGCCCCGCAAAAGCACCACAGAAUCAGAAGCUCAUAGAGAGUUGGCGAAAUGCUGGAGUGCUAUAUUCUACUCCUCCUGGUUCCAAUGAUGAUUGGUAUUGGCUGUAUGCAGCAGUUAGUUGCCGUUCACUGCUUGUUACGAACGAUGAGAUGCGGGACCACUUGUUUCAACUUCUCGGCACUAGUUUCUUCCCCAGAUGGAAAGAGAAGCAUCAGGUCAGGCUAACAUACUCGGGCCGCGGUCCUACUUUCCACUUGCCGCCUCCUUAUUCAAUUGUCAUUCAGGAAUCCGAAGCCGGGAGCUGGCACGUGCCGACGACGACCGGAGACGACAUCGAGAGCCCGCGGCAGUGGGUCUGCGCCACCAGGAAAACUUCGGAGGGACCGCCUUCUCCACCGCCCCAAGCUCGCGCUGCCAGCAAAACUUUGGAGAAACCACCUUCUCCGCCUCCCCAAGCUCGGGCUGCCAGCAAAACUUUGGAGAGACCGCCUUCUCCGCCUCCCCAAGCUCGGGCUGCCAGCAAAACUUUGGAGAGACNNNNNNNNNNNNNNNNCCAAGCUCGUGCCACCAGCAAAACUUCCGAGAGACCGGCUUCUCUGCCUCCCCAAGCUAAGGCCACCAGAAAAACUUUGGAGAGACCGCCUUCUCUGCCGCCCCAAGCUUCGGCCAGCAGGAAAACUUCGGAGAGACUGCCUUCUCUGCCGCCCCAAGCUCGCGCCACUAGCAAAACUUCGGAGAGACCGCCUUCUCCGCCGCCCCAAGCUCGCGCCACCAGGAAAACUUCGGAGAGACCGGCCUCUCCGCCGCCCCAAGCUUCCGGCACCAUCAAAACUUCCGAGGGACCGCCUUCUCCGCCGCCCCAAGCGAGGUUAAGUGACCUUGGCUGGUAG
RNAcentral lists this ribosomal RNA (2202 nucleotides) under Triticum aestivum (bread wheat). RNAcentral's name for it is "partial small subunit ribosomal RNA". Lineage: Eukaryota; Viridiplantae; Streptophyta; Magnoliopsida; Poales; Poaceae. The record is from RNAcentral.